RNA transcript from Octopus sinensis (East Asian common octopus), 396 nucleotides. RefSeq lists it as uncharacterized. The record is from RefSeq and is a predicted model, not a curated record. The transcript is spliced from 3 exons. Lineage: Eukaryota; Metazoa; Mollusca; Cephalopoda; Octopoda; Octopodidae.
UAUGACAUUUACACAUAAUUUAUUUUACAGGCGGUAUUUGCUGGAAAUUUCAUACUUGGGAGUGCAUCGUCAGCUUUAGCCAAGCUCAAAAAUGAAUAUGUUAUAUCUGUUAUUUCAUGUGUUAUAGAAGACUUAGUAAAAGGGGAAUUUAUGCAAUUAGGUUCUAAAGAAGAUGAAACUGAACGUUUUAAUCAUUAUUUAACAAAAUCUUUCAAAAAAACUGCUAGUCUAAUUGCUAAUAGCUGCAAAGCAGUGGCUAUUUUUGGAAAUUGUUGCGAUGACAUUGUGAAUACUGCCUACCUUUAUGGCCGACACAUAGGCUUAGCUUUUCAGGUUUGUUUGUUUUGGUUUUUUUUCUUUUCUAAUAAGAAAUUAGCAAGUAUUAAUGCUAUUAUC